Molecule: ribosomal RNA, 497 nt
Filed under: uncultured bacterium
Lineage: Bacteria
Description: partial 16S ribosomal RNA
Rfam family: Bacterial small subunit ribosomal RNA
Source: RNAcentral
GAUGAACGCUGGCGGCGUGCCUAAUACAUGCAAGUCGAGCGAACAGACGAGGAGCUUGCUCCUCUGACGUUAGCGGCGGACGGGUGAGUAACACGUGGAUAACCUACCUAUAAGACUGGGAUAACUUCGGGAAACCGGAGCUAAUACCGGAUAAUAUAUUGAACCGCAUGGUUCAAUAGUGAAAGACGGUUUUGCUGUCACUUAUAGAUGGAUCCGCGCUGCAUUAGCUAGUUGGUAAGGUAACGGCUUACCAAGGCAACGAUGCGUAGCCGACCUGAGAGGGUGAUCGGCCACACUGGAACUGAGACACGGUCCAGACUCCUACGGGAGGCAGCAGUAGGGAAUCUUCCGCAAUGGGCGAAAGCUUGACGGAGCAACGCCGCGUGAGUGAUGAGGGUCUUCGGAUCGUAAAACUCUGUUAUUAGGGAAGAACAAAUGUGUAAGUAACUAUGCACAUCUUGACGGUACCUAAUCAGAAAGCCACGGCUAACUACGUG